Molecule: long non-coding RNA, 2274 nt
Organism: Oncorhynchus tshawytscha (Chinook salmon)
Lineage: Eukaryota; Metazoa; Chordata; Actinopteri; Salmoniformes; Salmonidae
Source: Ensembl
CUGGUCAGUUGAUAUUUGAUUCAGGUCUGGUCAGUAGUCAGUAGAUAUUUGAUCCAGGUCUGGUCAGUUGUCAGCUGAUAUUUAAUCCAGGUCUGGUCAGCUGAUAUUUAAUCCAGGUCUGGUCAGUUGAUAUUUGAUCCAGGUCUGGUCAGUAGUCAGCUGAUAUUUGAUCCAGGUCUGGUCAGUAGUCAGCUGAUAUUUAAUCCAGGUCUGGUCAGUAGUCAGCUGAUAUUUGAUCCAGUUCUGGUCAGUAGUCAGUUGAUAUUUGAUCCAGGUCUGGUCAGUAGUCAGUUGAUAUUUAAUCCAGGUAUGGUCAGUUGAUAUUUAAUCCAGGUCUGGUCAGUGGUCGGUCAGUAAUGUAACAGUGAAGACAUAUCUAACAGUAAAAGUCUUGGACAGGACAGGAGGAGUGUGUUGUUUGGAAAAAGGACUUCCCAGAACGUCUGUGAUUGUUUUUGUCUCGGAGAACAGAGUGGAGAGACGGAGAGAGUGUACACAUGUGUUUGGUCAUUUCUCCUCUUCGUUUUGUUCUACUUCCUGUAUCACACGGGAACAGCCAAUCAGUUCAUGCGUUGCAGUAACGAUGAUGACUAGUGAAUAGUCUAGAAUCUUCCUCUGUGUUUGGGCUGGUGGUGAUGACGACGCCCAGGAGAGAUGCAGCCCAACCGGAAUACAUGUUAGUGUGAGACUGAGCGUUGUCACGACAACAACCUCCACUGUGUUCCUGUGGAUUUACACAUCACGGUAUUAAUGCUUAGACUGGACGCAUGGUUUCAUGGGGAAUCCAUUACCUACGAAGCUAUGACAAAGUGUGUGUCUCACACUCACACGCACACACACACACACACACACACACACACACACACUUUGACACCACUACCCUUUUGACACACAUCCCUCAGCAAAUUCAGGUCCUUUAGUUUUAGUGUUUUGUGAGUUUUAUUGCUGAAAAAAAUGCAACUGUUAUUGUCGUGUUAUUUCCACAUCACUGAUAUACACCCAGCCCAAAGAAUGUAACGGAGAAAGAGACUUAAUGUAUGUAUCUUGUUUGACUGUGUCCCAAAUGACACCCUAUUUCCUAUAUAGUGCGCUACGUUUUAUCCAGAGCUGGUCUAAAGUAGUGCACUAUGUGUAUGAAACAGGGUGGGACGUAGCCAUUCUGCUGUAGAAGAGAAACAGGCUUGUGUAAUGAAGUGGUUCAAUCAUGUUCCAUUCAAUGGUAUGAGAAUCGAGUUCUGAAAUUCUAUGUUCUGAUUCUAUGAUUCCGUUGUUCCGAUGUUACUGUAACAAGCAGCUCAGAAACCUUACUUACCAGGUAACUCCACUUACCAGGUAACUCCACUUACCAGGUAACUCCAACUAGUUUAAUGUACACUUACCAGGUAACUCCACUUACCAGGUAACUCCACUUACCAGGUAACCCCAACUAGUUUAAUGUACACUUACCAGGUAACUCCAACUAGUUUAAUGUACACUUACCAGGUAACUCCACUUACCAGGUAACCCCAACUAGUUUAAUGUACACUUACCAGGUAACCCCAACUAGUUUAAUGUACACUUACCAGGUAACUCCAACUAGUUUACUCUACACUUACCAGGUAACCCCAACUAGUUUUAAUGUACACUUACCAGGUAACCCCAACUAGUUUAAUGUACACUUACCAGGUAACUCCAACUAGUUUACUCUACACUUACCAGGUAACCCCAACUAGUUUUAAUGUACACUUACCAGGUAAUCCCAACUAGUAUACUGUACACUUACCAGGUAAUCCCAACUAGAUUACUCUACACUUACCAGGUAACUCCAACUAGUUUUAAUGUACACUUACCAGGUAAUCCCAACUAGUUUUCUCUACCCUUACCAGGUAAUCCCAACUAGUAUACUGUACACUUACCAGGUAACUCCAACUAGUUUUAAUGGGGCUCUGCUGGCAUUUCCUCUUCUCUGUCACCAGGUGUCUCCUCCCAACAUAGUGUUUCCUGUAUUCUAAACCCUUCUCCUCCUGCUCUCCCAAAGCAACAUGGAAACAGUAUUCUAAACCCUUCUCCUCCUGCUCUCCCUCGGUCAAUAUGAAAAUAAAACCCAAUUUACAAAUGUAUUGUUGGUUGUGUGUUUUUGUCGCUUACUUUACAGGAGCAGUGACGGCCUCCACUGGAACACACACACACACACACACACACACACACACACACACACACACACACACACACACACACACACACAGGAACACACACACACACACACACAGGAACACACACACACACACACACACA